RNAcentral lists this ribosomal RNA (492 nucleotides) under uncultured bacterium. RNAcentral's name for it is "partial 16S ribosomal RNA". It matches the Rfam family "Bacterial small subunit ribosomal RNA", at positions 28 to 507 of the family's 1533-position model. The record is from RNAcentral.
GAUGAACGCUCGCUACAGGCUUAACACAUGCAAGUCGAGGGGAAACGACAUCGAAAGCUUGCUUUUGAUGGGCGUCGACCGGCGCACGGGUGAGUAACGCGUAUCCAACCUGCCCAUCACUUGGGAAUAACCUUGCGAAAGUAAGACUAAUACCCAAUGAUAUCCCACGAAGGCAUCGGAAUGGGAUUAAAGAUUUAUCGGUGAUGGAUGGGGAUGCGUCUGAUUAGCUUGUUGGCGAGGUAACGGCCCACCAAGGCAACGAUCAGUAGGGGUUCUGAGAGUAAGGUCCCCCACAAUGGAACUGAGACACGGUCCAAACUCCUACGGGAGGCAGCAGUGAGGAAGAUUGGUCGAUGAGCGAGAGCCUGAACCAGCCAAGUAGGGUACAGGAAGACGGCCCUAUGGAUUGUAAACUGCUUUUAUAAGGGAAUAAAGUGGGUCACGUGUGACUUUUUGCAUGUACCUAAUGAAUAAGGACCGGCUAAUUCCGUG